GUAGGUGAACCUGCGGAAGGAUCAUUAUCGAAAAAGCAAUCCGGGGGGAGGCGACCGAGCGAAGUUUGGUAGAUCGUAGGGAUUGUCGCUGGCCUUUGGAAACGAAGGCAUGUGCACGUUCCGAGUUCUCCUCAGUCCUCCUUUGCCUUUCCUUUGGACAACCUUUCUUCACACCCGUGCACCCAUUGUAGGUCUCCGCGAGGGGAUCUAUGUCUUCAUAAAACUCUACGUAUGUCUAGGAAUGUAUCUAAAGCGUCGACCGGCUUGGCUCGAUGCCUGGUCGGCGACGGUAAAGAACGAAAUACAACUUUCAGCAACGGAUCUCUUGGCUCUC
RNAcentral lists this unclassified non-coding RNA (334 nucleotides) under rhizosphere metagenome. RNAcentral describes it as "partial ribosomal RNA internal transcribed spacer region". The record is from RNAcentral.